Molecule: ribosomal RNA, 230 nt
Filed under: uncultured microorganism
Description: partial 16S ribosomal RNA
Rfam family: Bacterial small subunit ribosomal RNA
Source: RNAcentral
UACGUAGGUGGCAAGCGUUGUCCGGAUUUACUGGGUGUAAAGGGCGCGUAGGCGGGAUCGCAAGUCAGAUGUGAAAUCUGGGGGCUUAACCCUCAAACUGCAUUUGAAACUGCGGUUCUUGAGUGAUGGAGAGGCAGGCGGAAUUCCUAGUGUAGCGGUGAAAUGCGUAGAUAUUAGGAGGAACACCAGUGGCGAAGGCGGCCUGCUGGACAUUAACUGACGCUGAGGCG